This is a non-coding RNA of Biomphalaria pfeifferi, 1033 nucleotides long. Lineage: Eukaryota; Metazoa; Mollusca; Gastropoda; Planorbidae. The record is from the annotation of a GenBank genome assembly.
UUUCUGAAUACAACAAUGUCAAGGAUUCUGUCUGUAGUGCAACGUCAGUGAUGGCAGGAAUGACAACUCUAUUUUUUUGUAUUCUAGUUUACAUGCUAAACUAAAUCCUAAUAUAGCAAAUCGAGAGAUGCCUCCCAAUCAGCUACUAUAUUUAAAUAAUGCUUUUAAACCAUGGUUUAAUAUCCUAAUAAUAAAAUCAGCCUUUAUAUUUAAAUAAUGUUUCUAAGCCAUAUUUCUAUAUCCUGUUAAUAAAACUUUUAAUAAAUAAAAUGCGUCUCUAAAAUUGCAAUUGAAAAAAACUUCGUUUUAUAAUUAUAAAGUAAUUAUAGAGCAAUUAAAGAAAUGAAUUUAUUUGGAUCAGGUAUAUCUAUUCAAUUGUUAAAAAAAUACGAAUUCCUAUUUAACUUUGAGUUCCCCCUUUCCACCUCUUCAUCACAAUGUAAAUUGUUUUGGCGAAGAGAAACAUAAACACGUUCUUUUAGCCAGGUGUAAAAAAAAAACAAAAAAAAAAAAACGCUGUCCAUUUGUAGAGUCCUAUUAGUUGAUUGUUCAUUUUUUUUUCUGCGGCCUGUCUGUUAAUUUGUCAAGUUUAGAACUAAAAAUUAAAAAGUGCUUUUAAAGAUCCAAUUUCAUCACUUUUGACUUGUUUCUUUUGUUUUGUUUGACAUGUUUUGGAUGCUCCUUAGGAGUUGAAGACAAUCUACGUCCUAGUCUAAACCUCCCGUAGGAUGAUGAGGCAUGGUAGUAGGAAAGGUAUGAACCCGUGACCAUCUAGAAGACCAAUCGUCUGUUUAGCGCGCAUACCACACCACCAGGCAUCCAUCAUGUCCGUGCUUAAUAGGUACAAGGGUUACUUAUGGGUUUUAAAAAAUGAUUUUUUUCUGUUGUCAAAUCUAAAUAUGCUUAUUUUAUGUAAACCAUUUUUAGAACAAUGUGGAAUAAAAAAUUAGUUCUUUUAUAAACAACUCACUACAGCAUCCAUAUUACCUUUCAACAAAUGUUUUAUUGCUAAAGAAUUAUAUUAAAGAAUGUA